This 467-nucleotide ribosomal RNA is filed under the name uncultured bacterium. RNAcentral's name for it is "partial 16S ribosomal RNA". It matches the Rfam family "Bacterial small subunit ribosomal RNA", at positions 28 to 507 of the family's 1533-position model. The record is from RNAcentral.
GACGAACGCUGGCGGCGUGCUUAACACAUGCAAGUCGAACGGAAAGGCCUCUUUCGGGGGGUACUCGAGUGGCGAACGGGUGGGUAACACGUGAGUAACCUGCCCUUGACUUUGGGAUAACUUCAGGAAACUGGGGCUAAUACCGGAUAGGAGCUCCUGCUGCAUGGUGGGGGUUGGAAAGUUUCGGCGGUUGGGGAUGGACUCGCGGCUUAUCAGCUUGUUGGUGGGGUAGUGGCUUACCAAGGCUUUGACGGGGAGCCGGCCUGAGAGGGUGACCGGCCACAUUGAGUCUGAGGUACGGCACAGACUCCUACGGGAGGGAGCAGUGGGGAAUAUUGCACAAUGGGUGGAAGCCUGAUGCAGCAACGCCGUGUGCGGGAUGACGGUCUUCGGGUUGUAGACCGCUUUCGCUCAUGACGAAGCUUUGUGUGACGGUAGUGGGUAAAGAAGCACCGGCUAACUACGUG